UAGUGGCGAACGGGUGAGUAACACGUGGGCAAUCUGCCCUGCACUCUGGGACAAGCCCUGGAAACGGGGUCUAAUACCGGAUAAUACUGUGCCCCUCAUGGGGGACGGUUAAAAGCUCCGGCGGUGCAGGAUGAGCCCGCGGCCUAUCAGCUUGUUGGUGGGGUAAUGGCCUACCAAGGCGACGACGGGUAGCCGGCCUGAGAGGGCGACCGGCCACACUGGGACUGAGACACGGCCCAGACUCCUACGGGAGGCAGCAGUGGGGAAUAUUGCACAAUGGGCGAAAGCCUGAUGCAGCGACGCCGCGUGAGGGAUGACGGCCUUCGGGUUGUAAACCUCUUUCAGCAGGGAAGAAGCGAAAGUGACGGUACCUGCAGAAGAAGCGCCGGCUAACUACGUGCCAGCAGCCGCGGUAAUACGUAGGGCGCAAGCGUUGUCCGGAAUUAUUGGGCGUAAAGAGCUCGUAGGCGGUUUGUCACGUCGGGUGUG
Molecule: ribosomal RNA, 489 nt
Filed under: Streptomyces sp. 313C09
Lineage: Bacteria; Bacillati; Actinomycetota; Actinomycetes; Kitasatosporales; Streptomycetaceae
Description: bacterial SSU rRNA
Rfam family: Bacterial small subunit ribosomal RNA
Source: RNAcentral